RNAcentral lists this microRNA (25 nucleotides) under Equus caballus (horse). RNAcentral describes it as "eca-miR-7035". The record is from miRBase by way of RNAcentral. Lineage: Eukaryota; Metazoa; Chordata; Mammalia; Perissodactyla; Equidae.
UCCUGGUUCUGUGGCUCAGAAGCAC